UACGUAGGGCGAAAGCGUUGUCCGGAAUUAUUGGGCGUAAAGAGCUCGUAGGCGGCCUGUUGCGUCCGCUGUGAAAACCCGGGGCUUAACCCCGGGCUUGCAGUGGAUACGGGCAGGCUGGAGGCAGGCAGGGGAGAACGGAAUUCCCGGUGUAGCGGUGAAAUGCGUAGAUAUCGGGAGGAACAUCGAUGGCGAAGGCAAUCACCUGGGCCUGAACUGACACUGAGACACGAAAGCGUGGGUAGCAAACAGG
RNAcentral lists this ribosomal RNA (253 nucleotides) under uncultured bacterium. RNAcentral's name for it is "partial 16S ribosomal RNA". It matches the Rfam family "Bacterial small subunit ribosomal RNA", at positions 524 to 776 of the family's 1533-position model. The record is from RNAcentral.